GACCCAGUCGUCAAGUUGGUUAAGACAUAACAUUUUCACUGUUAAAACAAGAGUUCAAAUCUCUUCUGGGUUA
Non-coding RNA from Lasallia pustulata, 73 nucleotides. Lineage: Eukaryota; Fungi; Ascomycota; Lecanoromycetes; Umbilicariales; Umbilicariaceae. The record is from Rfam.